Molecule: unclassified non-coding RNA, 3765 nt
Filed under: Hevea brasiliensis (rubber tree)
Lineage: Eukaryota; Viridiplantae; Streptophyta; Magnoliopsida; Malpighiales; Euphorbiaceae
Source: RNAcentral
GCCAGGUCUACGGUUUACCUAGAAUUGAAGCGCCUUUCUUCUUCCCUCUUCUCUUUCUCUAGUUGAUACAACGCGAAGCAAUCAGAGUCUAUUUCUUUGAAUUUGAGCUCUAGAGGCUUUGCCAGCAAGUUACCGGAGCCAUGGGAGAUCUCUCAUCGAGCAAUAGCUCCGGCGAGGGUCGGACGGUCCCGAAGGUCCCGAUCCCUGGCAAGAGAAACAUACUUAUCACUAGCGCCUUGCCUUAUGUCAAUAACGUCCCUCACCUUGGCAAUAUCAUCGGCUCUGUUUUGAGCGCUGAUGUUUUUGCUCGAUAUUGCCGGCUUCGAGGCUACAAUGCCUCAUACAUAUGUGGGACUGAUGAGUAUGGAACAGCAACAGAGACCAAGGCCAUGGAGGAGAAUUGCACCCCAAAAGAGAUUUGUGACAAGUGACUUUUUUUACUCAACUCCAUGAUGUGCUUGAAUAAUUAUCAGCCAUUAUUUGUUGUUCAAUAAUAUCUGUUAAUGCUUAGGGAUAUAUUAUGUAGCUUAUUGGUGGUUGACUUUGAUAUUUUAGCUUUUUUUAUAUUGGGUUCCAGUACCGUGUGUAUAAAUGUUGUUUAGCAUGAAAUGGAUCUUGAUUUUUAAGCCUCAAUGUUUGACAUUGACAUUCAUCCAGCAAUGAGAACACAGAAUUCAAUUUUUAUAUCUAUGUUUUUUUUAAUUGUCUCUUUAUGAUUGCUUGGAAGGGGUCCUAUCAGUAUUUCUAUGUUCUCAAAUAUGUUGGCACAUACUGUCAUUGUGAUUUCAACUCAAUUUUAUUUUGUUAGAACUUCCUUUUUGGAGUUAAUCAGAGUAAUAAUGUAUUUAGCUGAAUCUUAUUGUAAGGAUUUUUUCCCUUGGGUGAUGAGAGGUUUAUUUAUUUGAUGCUUGAACAGAAUAUAAUUCAUUUAUUGGGCUAAAUAUUUUAUAAUUGUAUUUAGCUUCUUCUCUAUGCCUUUCUAGGUACCAUGCAAUUCAUAGGGAAGUUUAUAAAUGGUUUAAUAUAAGUUUUGAUGAAUUUGGACGAACAUCAACUCCACAGCAGACCGAAGUUUGCCAAGCAAUUUUUAAAUUAUUGUUAGAGAACAAUUGGCUUUCUGAGAACACAAUUCAGCAGCUAUACUGUGAUACAUGCAAAAGGUUCUUAGCUGAUCGGCUUGUAGAGGGUAUUUGUCCAACUGAAGGGUGUAAUUAUGAUUCUGCACGAGGAGAUCAAUGUGAAAAGUGUGGAAAGCUGUUGAAUCCAACAGAGUUAAAAGAUCCUAGGUGCAAGGUUUGUUGCAACACUCCACAUAUUCGUGAUACAAAUCACUUGUUUCUUGAGCUUCCUCUGCUAAAGGAUAAAUUGGUAAAGUAUAUUGAGAGCAUGUCAGUAGCUGGAUCUUGGAGCCAGAAUGCUAUUCAAGCAACGUAUGCUUGGUUGAAAGAAGGAUUGAAGCAACGAUGUAUUACUAGAGAUCUGAAGUGGGGAGUUCCAGUUCCGCAUGAGAAAUUUAUGGACAAGGUUUUCUAUGUCUGGUUUGAUGCACCUAUUGGAUAUGUCUCUAUCACUUCAUGCUACACACCUGACUGGGAGAAGUGGUGGAAGAAUCCUGAAAAUGUGGAGCUUUAUCAGUUUAUGGGAAAGGAUAAUGUGCCAUUCCACACUGUGAUGUUUCCAUCAACACUUCUAGGAACUGGUGAAAAUUGGACCUUGAUGAAGACUAUAAGUGUUACUGAAUACUUAAACUAUGAAGCAGGAAAGUUUUCGAAGAGUAAAGGUAUAGGUGUUUUUGGUAAUGAUGCAAAAGACACAAACAUUCCUGUAGAAGUCUGGAGAUAUUAUUUACUAACUAACAGGCCAGAGGUAAACCUGUUCUUUCCUAUCCUAUUUUCAGUGUAGUUAAAUAUUUCAUUCUGUUCUUGCAGUAUGUAAAAUGCAAUUCGUUUGGGCUUGUUUUAAUCAGGUAUCUGACACACUAUUUACAUGGUCUGAUUUGCAAGCAAAACUUAACAGUGAGUUGCUAAAUAAUUUGGGCAACUUCAUCAAUCGAGUUUUGAGUUUUAUUGCUAAACCUCCAGGAACAGGAUAUGGUUCCAUUAUUCCAGAUGCUCCAAAUGCAGACUCACAUCUCCUGACAAAGAAAUUGGCUGAAGAAGUUGGUAAAUAUGUGGAGCAAUAUGUUGAAGCUAUGGAAAAGGUCAAAUUAAAGCAAGGACUGAAAACUGCAAUGAGCAUUUCUAGUGAAGGGAAUGCAUAUUUGCAAGAAAGCCAAUUCUGGAAGCUUUACAAGGAAGACCAAUCUUCAUGUAAUAUAGUUAUGAGGACUUCUGUAGGACUUGUAUACCUUCUUGCUUGUUUAUUAGAACCCUUUAUGCCAUCUUUCUCUUUUGAGGUUUUCAAGCAGCUUAAUUUGCCUCCUGAGAAAGCUUCACUUUGUGAUGAAAAAGGAGAUAUUGAUAGGGCAAAGAGACCUUGGGAGUUUCUACCUCCCAAUCACAAAAUUGGGACACCAGAGCCAUUGUUCAAGGAACUGAAAGAUGAGGAAGUUGAUUUCUUCAGGAAGAAAUUUGCUGGAAGUCAAGCUGAGAGGGCAGAAGCCGAAGCGGCAAAGGUUGCUGAGCAACUGAAGAAGACUAAAGUUUCGGGUCAUUAAUCAUUCCAUCCUUUUCCUCUCAAUCAAACUAUUUUAUUCUUCAUCACAGAAGCAAUUGUUAAUUUGCACUUGAUUGCUUAUUGUGACUGUUUGUAAGAGUGAUUGGUGUGCCAUUUCAAACAGUUGCUUACACAAGUAGGACCUCUUUUUUCUUUUGGGUUGGGGUGGGUUUUGACAGAUGGUAACGGGAAGAAGCAACAGAUCAAAAAGCCUUCUGCCAAAGCCAAAUCAAAGAGCACUGUUGAGCCAGAAAUCUCCAUCACUAGACUUGAUAUUCGUGUUGGCCUAAUUAAGAAAGCUCAGAAGCAUCCCGAUGCUGAUUCGCUAUAUGUGGAAGAAAUCGAUGUCGGGGGAGGAGAGACUAGAAAAGUUGUUAGUGGACUAGUCAAUUAUAUACCUCUAGAAGAGAUGCAGGAUCGUAAGGUCUGUGUCCUUUGUAACUUAAAGCCUGCAACCAUGAGGGGUAUCAAGUCACAGGCUAUGGUUCUUGCUGCUUCCAACAGUGACCACACAAAGGUUGAGUUGGUUGAUCCACCUGAAUCUGCUGCUGUUGGAGAGAGAGUUACAUUUCCUGGGUUUGAAGGUGAGCCGGAUGAUGUCCUAAACCCUAAAAAGAAGGUCUGGGAGACACUGCAAGUGGAUCUCCAAACGAACACAGAUCUAGUAGCCUGCUAUAAAGAUAUUCCGUUCACCACGUCGGCUGGUGUAUGCAAGGUUGCAUCCAUUCAAAGUGGAUCAGUAAGGUAGAUAGCAUAAAUUAUUGGAAGUCACGGUAGAAAGCCCCAGAUUUUGACUCAUUGCUUUUCUCUUAGUUCGCCAUGCAUUUCCAAUUUUAAGUAAAAUCGACUUUUCUUCAUGAGUGAACCAUACAGAAAUGCUAACGGGAAGAAUGGAAGUGCUUCGUGUAUUGCCAUUUUUGUAAGGGUAUUUAACUAAAUGUGCAGGAGGCUUGUCAAAAUUAACUAGUUAGUCCCUUCUGUUUGAAAACUUAAUAAUUUAGUUCUUAAUGAUUAAAAUUGUUAACAAAUUGGUGUUUCUGUUUAAAUUGGGUUUAUUUUGCCACUAAUCAUGGGCCACGUAGAUUUCGUUUUUAAUUGGAAAACGAGUUG